UACGUAGGGUGCGAGCGUUGUCCGGAAUUACUGGGCGUAAAGAGCUAGGUGGUUUGUCGCGUUGUUCGUGAAAACUCACAACUCAAUUGUGGGCGUGCGGGCGAUACGGGCAGACUGGAGUACUGCAGGGGAGACUGGAAUUCCUGGUGUAGCGGUGGAAUGCGCAGAUAUCAGGAGGAACACCGGUGGCGAAGGCGGGUCUCUGGGCAGUAACUGACGCUGAGGAGCGAAAGCGUGGGGAGCGAACAGG
RNAcentral lists this ribosomal RNA (250 nucleotides) under uncultured bacterium. RNAcentral describes it as "partial 16S ribosomal RNA". It matches the Rfam family "Bacterial small subunit ribosomal RNA", at positions 524 to 776 of the family's 1533-position model. The record is from RNAcentral.